RNAcentral lists this ribosomal RNA (775 nucleotides) under uncultured Neocallimastigales. RNAcentral describes it as "partial large subunit ribosomal RNA". It matches the Rfam family "Eukaryotic large subunit ribosomal RNA", at positions 23 to 626 of the family's 3401-position model. The record is from RNAcentral. Lineage: Eukaryota; Fungi; Neocallimastigomycota; Neocallimastigomycetes; Neocallimastigales.
AGAGAGAGACAUGCGCGCAUAUCAAUAAGCGGAGGAAAAGAAACUAACAAGGAUUCCCUUAGUAACGGCGAGUGAAGCGGGAAGAGCUCAAAUUUGAAAUCUUCAAGGUUUACCUUGACGAAUUGUAGUUUGAAAGAAGUGUUUUCUGCUGAAGUUUUGGUAAAAGUUCUUUGGAAUAGGACAUCAUAGAGGGUGAGAAUCCCGUAUUUGACCAUUAUUUUCAGCUUUGUGAUACACUCUCAAAGAGUCGGAUUGUUUGGGAAUGCAGUCCAAAAUGGGUGGUAAAUUUCAUCUAAAGCUAAAUAUUGGCGAGAGACCGAUAGCGAACAAGUACCGUGAGGGAAAGAUGAAAAGAACUUUGAAAAGAGAGUUAAACAGUACGUGAAAUUGUCAAAAGGGAAGCGUUUGACACCAGUGUUGUUUUCUCGAAAAUCAAUUAAAAAUGGCUCGAUUUUGUAUUGCUUGAGACCUUAAAAGCUCACUGUACAUUUUUCGUGUCUUUUUUAAUGCACUUUUCGUUUAACAAGUCAACAUCAGUUUCUUUUGUUGUAAAAGGGUCAUUGGAAGGUGGCUUUCUUUUCGGAGAAAGUGUUUAUAGCCUUUGGCCUCUGCAAUCGGAGAGACUGAGGUCUGCAGCGUAGACUCUUCGGGGUUAGAUACAUUUGUGCUAAGUUGUAGCUUUUUAUAGACAACUUGUUGACUAUAAUUAGUCUUGUAGCUUACUCGCUUAUGCUAUUUUACCUACGCUUAGGAUGUUGAGUCGUAGAGCACGCAG